AAAAACAAUGACCUGCCUGCUGGAGGAGGGGCAGUUUCCUGAGAAUCAGGUGCAUGUCUGGAGCGAUGAUGUCAUCCUUCUAACUAGACCUGCCUGAGAGAGAUGGAUGCAGAGGAGGGAAUGUUUUCCUAAUAGCUGGUCUCCAGCUGGGAGGAGGAUUAAACUGACAGCUUAAGGCAGUUUGCCUUCAAUAUCUUUUGGAGGAUGGCUUCUACCCUAUCUGGAUUGAAUAACUCAUGCUGUAGAUGACAGUCAUCUUCUGUAGAUAAAGAAGUGGGAUGGUUGCAUUGUUCUGACGAGGGGUCCUGGACUGUAAUUCCACAAGGAAGAAAUGCAGCUUCAUCUUCAUGCCCUCUCUCCCAUAUUUAAUGCUGCUGGAGAAGCCCAAAUCCAAGGUGAAGAAGUGUCACUUCUAGUGUAUAAACAAAUCUUUCUGGCACGGCUGGGCAUUCCAGUUGCAAAAGAAGGAACAGGAGAAGAAACUUCUAAAGAUCUGCACAGAGUUAGAAGAACUAUAACUGAAAAGUUUUUACUCCAGAGAGAAGUGCUUUUAUUUUAAGAAGUUGUGAGAUCUCUACUUUUUCUAAUUUGGAAGAGCUGACGUUGUCAUUACUCAAGAUAGAAACAAUUGAAAGGGGCUGAAAAAUUGUAUUUUGAUGUUGGUGUAUCUACUCUUUUACUAGUUGGAUUUUGUUCAUUAUUCUGCAGGAGGAUUACAAAAAGGAUUAAGAGAAGUCUUUUUUUUUUUU
Molecule: long non-coding RNA, 749 nt
Organism: Gavialis gangeticus (Gharial)
Lineage: Eukaryota; Metazoa; Chordata; Crocodylia; Gavialidae
Exons: 3
Source: RefSeq, a predicted model, not a curated record